RNAcentral lists this transfer RNA (78 nucleotides) under Flavobacteriales bacterium. Its description in RNAcentral is "tRNA-Pro". It matches the Rfam family "tRNA". From Rfam's summary of the family: Transfer RNA (tRNA) molecules are approximately 80 nucleotides in length. Their secondary structure includes four short double-helical elements and three loops (D, anti-codon, and T loops). The record is from RNAcentral. RNAcentral also lists the same sequence under 1 other name. Lineage: Bacteria; Pseudomonadati; Bacteroidota; Flavobacteriia; Flavobacteriales.
CGGGGCGUGGCCUAGUCCGGUUACGGCGCCUGUUUUGGGAACAGGAGAUCGCAGGUUCGAAUCCUGCCGCCCCGACGA